RNAcentral lists this ribosomal RNA (301 nucleotides) under uncultured bacterium. RNAcentral describes it as "partial 16S ribosomal RNA". It matches the Rfam family "Bacterial small subunit ribosomal RNA", at positions 509 to 807 of the family's 1533-position model. The record is from RNAcentral.
CAGCAGCCGCGGUAAAACGGAGGGGGCUAGCGUUGUUCGGAAUUACUGGGCGUAAAGCGUGCGUAGGCGGUGAGCUAAGACAGAUGUGAAAUCCCCGGGCUUAACCUGGGAACUGCAUUUGUGACUGGCCGGCUAGAGUAUGGCAGAGGGAGGUGGAAUUCCACGUGUAGCAGUGAAUUGCGUAGAGAUGUGGAGGAAUACCGAUGGCGAAGGCAGCCCCCUGGGCCAAUACUGACGCUCAUGCACGAAAGCGUGGGGAGCAAACAGGAUUAGAUACCCCUGUAGUCCCUGUCUCUUAUAC